Molecule: ribosomal RNA, 429 nt
Filed under: Bacteroidota bacterium
Lineage: Bacteria; Pseudomonadati; Bacteroidota
Description: Bacteroidetes bacterium partial 16S ribosomal RNA
Rfam family: Bacterial small subunit ribosomal RNA
Source: RNAcentral
UAGGGAAUCUUCCGCAAUGGACGCAAGUCUGACGGAGCAACGCCGCGUGAGUGAAGAAGGAUUUCGGUUCGUAAAACUCUGUUGUUAGAGAAGAACAGCGCAUAGAGUAACUGUUAUGCGUGUGACGGUAUCUAACCAGAAAGCCACGGCUAACUACGUGCCAGCAGCCGCGGUAAUACGUAGGUGGCAAGCGUUGUCCGGAUUUAUUGGGCGUAAAGCGAGCGCAGGCGGUCAAUUAAGUCUGAUGUGAAAGCCCCCGGCUCAACCGGAGAGGGUCAAUGGAAACUGGUUGACUUGAGUGCAGAAGAGGAGAGUGGAAUUCCAUGUGUAGCGGUGAAAUGCGUAGAUAUAUGGAGGAACACCAGUGGCGAAGGCGACUCUCUGGUCUGUAACUGACACUGAGGCUCGAAAGCGUGGGGAGCGAACAGG